UACGGGGGGGGCGAGCAUUUUUCGGUAUGACUAGGUAUAAAGUGUUUUAAGACUGAUAAAUGUAGUUUUUAAAUAAAUAUUAAAGCUUAACUUUAAGGAAUUUAAAAAAACGGUUUGUCUUGAGUAUUUAUAGAAAAUAAUGGAAUUUUUAUUGAAGAAAUAAAAUGUUAAGAUAAUAAAAAGACCAACAAAGGCGAAGGCAAUUAUUUAUUUAUAUACUGACGUUGAUAAACGAAAGCUGAGGUAGCGGAUGGG
Molecule: ribosomal RNA, 255 nt
Filed under: uncultured bacterium
Lineage: Bacteria
Description: partial 16S ribosomal RNA
Rfam family: Bacterial small subunit ribosomal RNA
Source: RNAcentral